Molecule: ribosomal RNA, 497 nt
Filed under: uncultured bacterium
Lineage: Bacteria
Description: partial 16S ribosomal RNA
Rfam family: Bacterial small subunit ribosomal RNA
Source: RNAcentral
GACGAACGCUGGCGGCGUGCCUAAUACAUGCAAGUAGAACGCUGAAGCGAGGAGCUUGCUCUUCUUGGAUGAGUUGCGAACGGGUGAGUAACGCGUAGGUAACCUGCCUUGUAGUGGGGGAUAACUAUUGGAAACGAUAGCUAAUACCGCAUAACAAUGGAUGACACAUGUCAUUUAUUUGAAAGGGGCAAUUGCUCCACUACAAGAUGGACCUGCGUUGUAUUAGCUAGUAGGUGAGGUAAUGGCUCACCUAGGCGACGAUACAUAGCCGACCUGAGAGGGUGAUCGGCCACACUGGGACUGAGACACGGCCCAGACUCCUACGGGAGGCAGCAGUAGGGAAUCUUCGGCAAUGGGGGCAACCCUGACCGAGCAACGCCGCGUGAGUGAAGAAGGUUUUCGGAUCGUAAAGCUCUGUUGUAAGUCAAGAACGGGUGUGAGAGUGGAAAGUUCACACUGUGACGGUAGCUUACCAGAAAGGGACGGCUAACUACGUG